GUUUGCACUUGUCGGGGAAGGGUGAGAACCUUCGAUUAAGGUUCGACUCGAGCGCAGCGAGAAAGCGUUGCCGCAGGCAACGACCCGAAGGGCGAAGCGCGCAGCGCUGAGUAAUCCUUCCCCCACCACCA
This 131-nucleotide small RNA is filed under the name Salmonella enterica subsp. enterica serovar Brancaster. RNAcentral describes it as "RtT sRNA". It matches the Rfam family "RtT RNA". From Rfam's summary of the family: This family represents a bacterial cis-regulatory element known as RtT RNA. The exact function of RtT is unknown although it is thought that it may be involved in changing the cellular response in relation to amino acid starvation. Lineage: Bacteria; Pseudomonadati; Pseudomonadota; Gammaproteobacteria; Enterobacterales; Enterobacteriaceae. The record is from RNAcentral.